CCUACGGGAGGCAGCAGUAGGGAAUAUUGGGCAAUGGAGGCAACUCUGACCCAGCCAUGCCGCGUGCAGGAUGAAGGCGUUAUGCGUUGUAAACUGCUUUUAUAUAGGAAGAAAGAGUUCUUGCGAGAACAGUUGACGGUACUAUAUGAAUAAGCACCGGCUAACUCCGUGCCAGCAGCCGCGGUAAUACGGAGGGUGCAAGCGUUGUCCGGAUUUAUUGGGUUUAAAGGGUGCGUAGGCGGUUUAUUAAGUCAGUGGUGAAAGACGGUCGCUCAACGAUUGCAGUGCCAUUGAUACUGGUAGACUUGAGUGAGAUUGAGGUAGCUGGAAUGGAUAGUGUAGCGGUGAAAUGCAUAGAUAUUAUCCAGAACACCAAUUGCGUAGGCAAGUUACUAAGUCUUAACUGACGCUGAGGCACGAAAGUGUGGGUAUCAAACAGGAUUAGAUACCCUGGUAGUCCACACUGUAAACGAUGAUAACUAACUGUUGGCUUUCGGGUCAGUGGUACAGAGAAAUCGUUAAGUUAUCCACCUGGGGAGUACGCCGGCAACGGUGAAACUCAAAGUAGUAGUCGGCGNGAGAGAGACGACGACGACGACGACGGAGGGAGGAGG
Molecule: ribosomal RNA, 614 nt
Filed under: uncultured bacterium
Lineage: Bacteria
Description: bacterial SSU rRNA
Rfam family: Bacterial small subunit ribosomal RNA
Source: RNAcentral